UACGGAGGGUGCAAACGUUGCUCGGAAUCAUUGGGCGUAAAGCGCACGUAGGCGGCCUGUUAAGUCGGGUGUGAAAGCCCUGGGCUCAACCCAGGAAGUGCACUCGAAACUGGCGGGCUUGAGUAUGGAAGAGGGUCGCGGAAUUCCCGGUGUAGAGGUGAAAUUCGUAGAUAUUGGGAAGAACACCGGUGGCGAAGGCGGCGACCUGGUCCUUGACUGACGCUGAGGCGCGAAAGCGUGGGGAGCAAACAGG
This 253-nucleotide ribosomal RNA is filed under the name uncultured bacterium. RNAcentral describes it as "partial 16S ribosomal RNA". It matches the Rfam family "Bacterial small subunit ribosomal RNA", at positions 524 to 776 of the family's 1533-position model. The record is from RNAcentral.